RNAcentral lists this ribosomal RNA (422 nucleotides) under uncultured bacterium. RNAcentral describes it as "bacterial SSU rRNA". It matches the Rfam family "Bacterial small subunit ribosomal RNA", at positions 355 to 774 of the family's 1533-position model. The record is from RNAcentral.
UAAGGAAUAUUGGUCAAUGGACGCAAGUCUGAACCAGCCAUGCCGCGUGAAGGAUUAAGGCCCUCUGGGUUGUAAACUUCUUUUAUAGGGGAAGAAAUGUGACGGUUCUCCGUCACUUGACGGUACCCUGGGAAUAAGCACCGGCUAACUCCGUGCCAGCAGCCGCGGUAAUACGGAGGGUGCAAGCGUUAUCCGGAUUCACUGGGUUUAAAGGGUGCGUAGGUGGGCAGAUAAGUCAGUGGUGAAAUCUUCCGGCUUAACCGGGAAACUGCCGUUGAUACUAUUUGUCUUGAAUAUUGCGGAGGUAAGCGGAAUAUGUCAUGUAGCGGUGAAAUGCUUAGAUAUGACAUAGAACACCAAUUACGAAGGCAGCUUACUACACAAUCAUUGACACUGAGGCACGAAAGCGUGGGUAGCGAACA